GUGUACUGUUUCAGUGCUCAUAUAUUAAACUUAGAAUACAGAGAAUAUUAGCAUGUCCCCUGGGCAAGGAUGACAUGCAAAUUAGGGAAGCAUUCCAAUUUUUU
Small nuclear RNA from Nannospalax galili (Upper Galilee mountains blind mole rat), 104 nucleotides. The record is from Ensembl. Lineage: Eukaryota; Metazoa; Chordata; Mammalia; Rodentia; Spalacidae.